GAACUGAAGAGUUUGAUCAUGGCUCAGAUUGAACGCUGGCGGCAGGCCUAACACAUGCAAGUCGAGCGGCAGCACGGGUACUUGUACCUGGUGGCGAGCGGCGGACGGGUGAGUAAUGCCU
RNAcentral lists this ribosomal RNA (121 nucleotides) under Pseudomonas syringae. RNAcentral describes it as "partial 16S ribosomal RNA". It matches the Rfam family "Bacterial small subunit ribosomal RNA", at positions 1 to 118 of the family's 1533-position model. Lineage: Bacteria; Pseudomonadati; Pseudomonadota; Gammaproteobacteria; Pseudomonadales; Pseudomonadaceae. The record is from RNAcentral. RNAcentral also lists the same sequence under 1 other name.